RNAcentral lists this ribosomal RNA (781 nucleotides) under Weissella cibaria. RNAcentral's name for it is "bacterial SSU rRNA". It matches the Rfam family "Bacterial small subunit ribosomal RNA", at positions 76 to 843 of the family's 1533-position model. The record is from RNAcentral. Lineage: Bacteria; Bacillati; Bacillota; Bacilli; Lactobacillales; Lactobacillaceae.
GACGAUGGACAUUGCAAAGAGUGGCGAACGGGUGAGUAACACGUGGGAAACCUACCUCUUAGCAGGGGAUAACAUUUGGAAACAGAUGCUAAUACCGUAUAACAAUAGCAACCGCAUGGUUGCUACUUAAAAGAUGGUUCUGCUAUCACUAAGAGAUGGUCCCGCGGUGCAUUAGUUAGUUGGUGAGGUAAUGGCUCACCAAGACGAUGAUGCAUAGCCGAGUUGAGAGACUGAUCGGCCACAAUGGGACUGAGACACGGCCCAUACUCCUACGGGAGGCAGCAGUAGGGAAUCUUCCACAAUGGGCGAAAGCCUGAUGGAGCAACGCCGCGUGUGUGAUGAAGGGUUUCGGCUCGUAAAACACUGUUGUAAGAGAAGAAUGACAUUGAGAGUAACUGUUCAAUGUGUGACGGUAUCUUACCAGAAAGGAACGGCUAAAUACGUGCCAGCAGCCGCGGUAAUACGUAUGUUCCAAGCGUUAUCCGGAUUUAUUGGGCGUAAAGCGAGCGCAGACGGUUAUUUAAGUCUGAAGUGAAAGCCCUCAGCUCAACUGAGGAAUUGCUUUGGAAACUGGAUGACUUGAGUGCAGUAGAGGAAAGUGGAACUCCAUGUGUAGCGGUGAAAUGCGUAGAUAUAUGGAAGAACACCAGUGGCGAAGGCGGCUUUCUGGACUGUAACUGACGUUGAGGCUCGAAAGUGUGGGUAGCAAACAGGAUUAGAUACCCUGGUAGUCCACACCGUAACGAUGAGUGCUAGGUGUUUGAGGGUUUCCGCCCUUAAG